ACGGGUGAGUAAUGCUUGGGAAUCUAGCUUAUGGAGGGGGAUAACUACGGGAAACUGUAGCUAAUACCGCGUAAUAUCGAAAGAUUAAAGUGUGGGACCUUCGGGCCACAUGCCAUAGGAUGAGCCCAAGUGGGAUUAGGUAGUUGGUGAGGUAAAGGCUCACCAAGCCGACGAUCUCUAGCUGGUCUGAGAGGAUGACCAGCCACACUGGGACUGAGACACGGCCCAGGCUCCUACGGGAGGCAGCAGUGGGGAAUAUUGCGCAAUGGGGGCAACCCUGACGCAGCCAUGCCGCGUGAAUGAAGAAGGCCUUCGGGUUGUAAAGUUCUUUCGGUAGCGAGGAGGCAUUUAGUUUAAUAGACUAGGUGAUUGACGUUAACUACAGAAGAAGCACCGGCUAACUCCGUUGCCAGCAGCCGCGGUAUACGGAGGGGGCGAGCGUAAUCGGAUACUGGGCGUAAAGGGCACGAAGCGGGGACUUAAGUGAGUGUGAAGGCCGGGCCUAACUGGGAAUUGCAUUUCAUACUGGCGUAGAGUACUUUAGGAAGGGUAGAAUCCACUGUACCGGGAAUGCUAAGAUUUGAGGAUUACGAAGCGAGACGCCCUGAGACGAGCUUAUGUCGAAGCGUGGGACACAGAUAGACCUGGUAUCCGCGUAACAGGCAUG
This 667-nucleotide ribosomal RNA is filed under the name uncultured bacterium. Its description in RNAcentral is "bacterial SSU rRNA". It matches the Rfam family "Bacterial small subunit ribosomal RNA", at positions 102 to 811 of the family's 1533-position model. The record is from RNAcentral.